This is a long non-coding RNA of Melospiza melodia melodia, 2398 nucleotides long. RefSeq lists it as uncharacterized. The transcript has 5 exons. The record is from RefSeq and is a predicted model, not a curated record. NCBI's taxonomy places the organism in Eukaryota, Metazoa, Chordata, Aves, Passeriformes, Passerellidae.
GAAGAGAUGAGGAUUAGUAUGUUUUCCUUUUCAUUUUCAUUUGCAGGUAUAAUCCCCUGAAGAUGAAGGUGGGUUUCUCCACCUGUGGUUCAAGUGCUAAUCUAGGACUCACAAGAGAAGGGUCCAAUGUCCUGCUGUGCUGCAGACUUCUGGAGCAAGCAUUGUGAUAUUUCAUUUCACCAUCUCUGAAAAAGGCAUAAUUUCAUCUGCAUUGUAGAGAUUUUAUUCAGUUCUAGAAAAAAUAUUUCCUUGUAAAACAUCCAGCAAAUACUUGAAAGCAUACAAUGUUCCUGCUUACUGAAGGGAGGCAACAGAGAGAUUACUCAAAGGAGAACCAGAAAUAAUAACAUAUAAUGGGGAAAAUUCCUGCUACUGUAGUUCAAGAGAAAAUAGUCACCUUCAAAAGAUAAUUAAGAACUUUGGGGGACUGAAAUCACCUUCAAGGGACACUCUGGGAUAUUCAGUUUAUCAAAUUGGCCAUCUCAAUUAGGUAACCUCUUACCUCUGAAAGAAUGAAAGAGACAGAAGUAUUACACGUGCAUUACAGAAAAUGGCUUCAGCCACUAAUCCAACAAUGCUGGAAGACCUGUGGGACAGUAAGACUCUCAGCUCCAUCCUUCAUUUAUACUCUGUUGGCUUUUCUGUGAGCAGUGCCUGGCAAGGACAUCACUUCUGAAGCAGAGCUCCUGCAGCAUCGCUCCUGCCUUGAAUAGCAGAGUGGUUUAUCUUUGUUUUUGAGGUUCUUCUGAUGUUUCCAUAGUCCAGAAGGCUUUGGGUGUCAUUUCAGUGCACUGGGUAUAAUUUCUAUGCAGCUGUAAUCACAGUUCUGGGAAGCUCUGGGACCCAGCAGAGUGGGAUUUUGCUUCCAUUCCCAGCCUUUUUUCCUAAUGAGAAGAUUUUUGUUUACCUGCUGGUGAUGGAAUGAAAGAUUCAAAGCAGUAGUUGCUUUUGUUUUGGGCUUACAGUAGGUUUAUCCAUCUCUCAAAGAUUAAGAUAGGAAAAGGUAGUUAUGGUAGUGGUGGUAGUAGUAGUAAUACUAAUAAUAAUGACAGUAAGAAUAACAACAACAACAACAAUAAUCACAAUGAUAAUAGUAGUAGUAGUAGUAGUAGCAAUAGCAAAUAAUAAUGAUGAAGUGAAGCCAGUGAGUUUUGCAUGCACUGAGAGGAAAAGGACAGUAGCUGUCACUGCUGUUAAGAAUAAUUUAUAUAUUGUCUAUUUUUGAUUUCUCCUUCUGGGGUUAUAAGUGUUGACAAGUUAACAUCAGGGCAAAGGUACAUUGGGCUGUCAGGUUUCUAUUUUCUGCUUCUUGCUCUUCCACAAAGUGCUACAGAGAUUGAUUGAUUUGAUUUUAAAGAGUUCGGUUACAUCACAGUGACACAGUCUUCAAUAUGAAUUAAAAGAAUAAAAUUGUUUGUGUAACUUGUUUUUGUGUUGACAGGAUCUUUGCACUCCAGGCAAUCACUUUGUUUUCCUUACAGCUUUGUUCUUUAGCCACCCAAAUGUGGAAUGUCACUCAACCUUGUCAUAUUUUUUUCCUUGAUGUUCUUUAUUAGUCCCUAUCAUUCUUUUCAGGAAUCUAACAAAUGUGGAUAGCCUUUGUUAGUCAGUUGCUCUGUGUUUUUGCCAUUUUAAGCUUCUUCUCCCAAUACUAUGAUAACAGAGUUUCUUAGUGGACAUGACCGUUACUUCAUAAGAUACCAGUUAAGCCUUUGAGUGAUCACUAGUGUGAUCAUCUAAUUAAAUUUCUGUAGACAUCCAAAUGAAAAUUACAUAUUUGAACCCACAGUUCAUAGUCAACCACAGUUAACUUUUAACACAGCUCUAAAUUUUUUGAGGGAAUUAGGAAGUGAUAAUACAAUUAGGGGUCUUGCUGAGCUUCAGCUCUUUCUGAAAAUGAGAUCUAAAUGUUUUCAGAAUAAAAUUAGGUAAUCAUCCAAAAUUCUGAGCAUCUUUCUUGCACUGGACUGUCCCACUGAACCUUUCCAGUCUCAUCUCUUGCACAUACAUUUUUAAUCUCUGUUUUACUACAUCUUCUAUACUCACUUUAGUAUGACAUUCAUAUGUGCAUUGGCUGUAAUUUUAAUAUCUACAGCAAGCUGAGAUGAAAUAUCAAAAGGAGCACAGAAGUAAAAGGAUAUAAUCCAGACCUGAAGACAUCAUAAACCAAAGGUUUUCAGGCAAAUUAUGUAUGAUUCAGGAAGGCUCAGUCAUGAUGUGAUGACAUAGAUUAAAUUUCUGAAAAUGGUCAGGAAAAAGUUCUGUGGAAGAAAAAAUUACAGGGUUACAUAGAAACAGAAGUAUUAGGCAAGUAUUGCUGUUUUGGUUUGUUUAGUAUUUUUUUUCUCUGGAACUGAAAGGCUGCUCAUAUGUAAAAGAAACUGGAUUGUGAAGUCAU